UAACGUCUCUUUACCUUCUUUUAAUUUAACCCCCAAAAAAUUAGUAAUUUAAAUAAGGUAUUAAUUACCAUAAAUGUUACCGUUGCCACAUGGGGAAUUAGAAAAUCUAUUCUUUUGGGCAGUGACGGGUAGGAGAAAGCUACCCGUUUUCUUCAGACUUUUCGUAUCCCGCUUCCUUCCCGUUAUCUCUUUCGGUCUCAUUUCAAUAUUUCCUCUCAUUCUUUUUCGUGAGAGGGAGAAACCCAAAGAUUUUGUCUGCCGUUUCUUAUUUUUUACUUUGGUGAUAUUGAAAUCCCCUGUUUUCGCUCUGUGUUUGAAAUCUAUCGAUGUCGGUCUGUCUGUUUCUUUUUGUUUGCUUUGCCGGAGACUGAUUUCGGAACGAACGGUUCAAUCAGAGCGAAAGUUUCGGGUUUGGUGAGCGUUAAACACGCCGUCGCAUCGGCUCCCAAAGUGUAGAAAAUCGCCAUCAAUCGUGUGCAUAUUGCGAUGCAAACCAAGAACGAACGGUUCAAUCAGAGCGAGUUUCGGGUUUGGGUAGCGUCAAAGUCGCCGUCGCUUCGGCUCCUAAAGUGUGGAAAAUCGGCGGCAAUCGUGUAAGUGUAGAAAAUCUUUUCUUGUUUUUGCCUAGCAGAAUACUUUUUGUUAUAUCCGCUGAGCAGAAUAAUUUUUGCUAAAAGUAUCUCCAUUAAUGAUUCUAUCUUGGAUUUAAGAAACUCACCAUAUAUGUUUGCAAGUUUAUUCCACUUUAUAAUUCAAAGAAAGUCUUAAAGUGGGAGACAAUAAAAUACAGAAGUGGCCUUUAAAAUGGCCCAAAACUGAUUGAGCCCAAUGACGAAGUAAACUUGGGUUGGAUUUC
Gossypium raimondii (Peruvian cotton) is the source of this 856-nucleotide long non-coding RNA. RefSeq lists it as uncharacterized. The record is from RefSeq and is a predicted model, not a curated record. Lineage: Eukaryota; Viridiplantae; Streptophyta; Magnoliopsida; Malvales; Malvaceae. The transcript has 3 exons.